Molecule: long non-coding RNA, 477 nt
Organism: Alosa sapidissima (American shad)
Lineage: Eukaryota; Metazoa; Chordata; Actinopteri; Clupeiformes; Clupeidae
Exons: 3
Source: RefSeq, a predicted model, not a curated record
AUGGUCUUCCCCAAUUUGCUCCACAUUGUUGAUUUCAGAGUGAAAGACCUGUGGGGCAAAUGUGAAAGAGGCAGUGAUGAUGUGCAAAUUCCCAAUACGGCGUAGGGAAGGGGUCUUAUCAGUGGCCCAGUGGCCAGGCUACAUAGGGGUCGAGGUGGGCCAGUGGCCAGGCUGCAUAGGGGUCAAGGUGGCCCAGUGGCCAGGCUACAUAGGGGUCAAGGUGGGCCAGUGGCCAGGCUGCAUAGGGGUCAAGGUGGGCCAGUGGCCAGGCUGCAUAGGGGUCAAGGCUACAUAGGGGUCAAGGUGGGCCAGUGGCCAGGCUACAUAGGGGUCAAGGUGGGCCAGUGGCCAGGCUGCAUAGGGGUCAAGGUGGGCCAGUGACCAGGCUACAUAGGGGUCAAGGUGGGCCAGUGGGGAAGGGUCCAAGGGGGCUACAUAGGGGUCAAGGUGGGCCAGUGGGGAAGGGUCAAGGUGGGC